RNAcentral lists this long non-coding RNA (5196 nucleotides) under Sus scrofa (pig). Its description in RNAcentral is "lncRNA (ENSSSCG00055023800.1)". Lineage: Eukaryota; Metazoa; Chordata; Mammalia; Artiodactyla; Suidae. The record is from RNAcentral.
CUUUUCUAGAGCCGCUCCCAUGGCAUAUGGAGGUUCCCAGGCUAGGGGUCGAAUCGGAGCUGUAGCCACCAGCUUACACCAGAGCCACAGCAAUGCAGGAUCCGAGCCAUGUCUGCAACCUAUACUACAGCUCACGGCAAUGCUGGAUCCUUAACCCACUGAACAAGGCCAGGGAUCAAACCUCCAACCUCAUGGUUCCUAGUCGGAUUCGUUAACCACUGAGCCACAAUGGGAACUCCCCAGAAUGUGUUGUGAAGGCAGCUAGAAUUUUUUGGAGGCAUGGCCAGAGAAAGGGGGAGUUAUAUAGAGCUGGGGCCCAAGAAAACUAGGUGCAGAUUCCCUCAGAGCCUGGACCAAAAACUAAGAAGUACAUGUACAGAGCCUGACUCUUUGAAUUCUGCUGCUUGGAGGCUGAGAGCUGAACAGAGAUAUCAGAGGUCAAAAGAGUUUGUAAACAUUGGGAUUGCAGCCCAGCUGGGGUGGACAAUCCUCACUGAAAACAAAACAUAAGCAUUACAUUGAGACCCUAGAAAGGCCCUGUCUUCAUAUGCUUUGUGUCCUAGAGUAAAGGGCUUUCCCUAAGACUUAGGACAAAAAUACUAAGAGACCAUUCUGAGAAACCCUAAAACAAAAUCUGACUACAUCAAGACCUACCAAAUACAUAACUGCUCCUAAAACAAAAAUCAUCACCCUUUAAAGGGAGACAACAUAAUCAAUUUUCCCUAUAAUGUAUCAUCCACAAUGUCUAGCAUGCAAUAAAAAAUUACUAAACCUUCAAAGAAUCAAGGGAAAAAAAUGGAAACAGACCUUGACAUGACCCAGAUGUUAUGAUUAGCAUCGAAAGAUUUCAAAAUAUGCAUAGGGAUGUGAAAUAAAGCAUGAAUAAUAUGAUGUAUGAGAUAACGAAUCUUAGUCAAUACAUAAAAAUGAUUUUAAGAAAGAGCCAUUGUAAAUACUAAGCUGAGAAAUACAAAAUCUGAAAUAAAAGGUCCCCUGGGUAAGCUUAACAGCAAAUUGAACACUAUAGAAGAAAGCAUCAAUGACUUUGAAAAUAGCUUAAGAGAAAUUUUCACAAAUUGCUUACUGUGAAGAAAAUUUUUGAAAUAAAAAAUAAACAAAGCCUUACUGACUUGUGGGGAAUAUAAAGUGUUCUAGCAUAGUGAAAAAUGGAGAUGUAGGAAAGAGAGAAUGGGGGGAAAAUUGAAGCAAUAGUAGCUGAGAAUUUUCCAAAAUUGAUGAGGGGUAUUAAUGAUCAAGAAAAUCAUACCUGGCCAUAUCAUAGUCAAAAUACUAAAAAUCAAAGAUAAAUCAUAAAGCAUUCAGAGGAAAAGAAAGAUACAUUGUGUAUCAGGGCACAAAGAUAAGAAUUACAAAUAACUACUACCAUGAAAAACAGUGGUGGUUGGAAAACAAUCAAAUGAGAUGUAAAAAUCACAGAGAGAAAACUGUCAGCCUAGGCUUCUACAGCCAGUGAAAAUAUCCUUCAAUAAGAGAGGUUUAAAUAAAUUUCUGGAUAAAAGAAAGCUAAGAGAAUUCAAACCCAGCAGAUUCUCACUCCAAGAAAUGCGAAAGGAAGUUCUUCAGACUGCAGAAAAGUGAUAACAGAUGGAAAUUCAGUUAGUUACACAGAGAGAAAUCAAUACCACCAGCCUUGGUAAAUAUGUGGUUGAUUUCUUUAAUACAAAUUGCCCAUUUAAAUAACUAUAAUAACAUAGUUUUAUAAAAUUUAUAACAUACACAGAAGCAAAAUAUAUGACAAUUCAUAACGAAUGGGUAUAUGACUUAGCUCUUCCAAAAAAACAAAACAAAACCAAAAAACCAAAAACCAAAACAAAAAAAGAGGGGCUUGAAUCCAAAAUACAUAAAAUCUACUAUAAAUGAACUAACAACCAUCAAAUGUUGGCAAGAAUGUGUAGCAAGUGGCGCUCCCACACCAUUGCUGGGUAUAUAAAAUGGUACAACUCCCAUGGAAAAAAGUUUUUUGGCUUCUUAUAAAGUUAAAAAUGUACCUCCCUAUGACUCAGCAAUUUCAUUCUAUGUAUUUAACUCAAGUAAACAAAAACACAUAUCCACAAAAAGACACACACAAGGAUGUUCAUUGUGAGACUUAUUCAUAAUAAUCCCAAACUUAAACCUAAAGUCCAUCAGCAAGAGAAAGGAUAAAGAAAUUGUGGUGUGUUCAUACAAUUGAAUACUACUAAGCAACUCAGAAAGACUGCUGAAACAUGCAACGACAUGGGUAAACCUUAAGCCCAUUGUGUCAUGCUAAAGAAGUCAGACGCAAAAGAGUAUAUACCAUAUGAUUUCAUUUAAAUGACAUUUUAAGAACAGACAAGAAUAAUCUAUUGUGAUAGAACAGGAUUUGCUUCUUGAGGGGGACUGACUGCAACAAGGCAGGAGCAAAGAGAGUGAUGAAAAUAUACCUCUUUAUUGGGAUGUCAUUUACACAGGUAUGUAGGUCUGUCAAAAGUCACUGGACUCACACUUAUUAACUGUACAGUUUACUCUCUGUAAAUUUUGCCAAAUUAAAAGUAACACUCGAGAAAACCAUAACAAAUUAGUGAAUUCAAAAUCUGGUAGAAAUGUAUUCUGAGUAUCACAUACAAAAUGUCAAAUAAAUAUUGCAACCGUAGCAAAAUAUCACGUUAAGUCAGGAAGCUGGGUAUAUGGGGUAUCAGAAAUACCAGCUUCUGUAUUUUUCUGCAUGUAUAAAAUAUUUCAAAGUAAUUCAAAUAAAUAAAACAUGACAAAGUUAAAAUGUGUCUCCAAUCUUUGCUGUCUCCUUACAGGGAGACUUGGGUCAGAGAUCAGCAAAUAAGGUCAUUGUUUGCAAAGACCUCAUAAAGGAGAAAUGCAAGCUUAUUGACCCAUGGUUUCUUAUUUUAGAGUAAUUAUUCUGUUGCCACUUCACAGUAUAGAAUACCACCUUUGUCUCAAACCAAGAUGUUAAUUUCCUAAUUUGUUAGGUUGAUCACAGUUAUAAAUCCUAUGAAUCAAUAUUUCAUCAGAUGAGUGGGAGCACAAUUUCUGCGCUGGCUUUUGUUCUCAUGUUUUCCUUUGAAAUUUGGGCAUCUGACUGUUUCACUCAACUGAAAAACCAUAGCCAAGCUCUCUAGGCGAUUUAAAUGCAAAGAGCUUUCUAAAUGAAUUGAUCCUAUUGUUUACAAGAUCAUUCAAUUGUCCUCAUGAAACUUCACUCAGUAGGACCUACUAGAGGGCCCAGAUUCUUUAAAAAUUUCAUUUUCAUACAUUUCUCACACGGAGGUGACAUUUUAAAAAAUCAGCUUUAUAAUUAGUGUUCUUACUUUACUUCUACACCAAUUAGUGUUCACUGAGCUCUCAGAGGGUGGGUGGUAAAUCAUUUAGUAAUAUCUGAUUCCUUCAACAAUUUUGAGUGCUUUAUAUUAAACACAGACUCUGUUCUAGGAGGGUGGUGAAUACUCAGCUAUAAACAAUACAGCCCCGGUUCUCCAGGACUUUCCAAUUAGAAAAAGACAUGACAUUCACACAAAUAACUAUGAUGCCCGAAUAUGAAAAAUGCCUGAGGAGAUGUAAGGAAAGGGUUUUUGGAAUUCAAAGAAAGGAAAACUUUCUGGAAGCUGGGAGGUGAGAGUGGGUUAUCAGGAAAAGGUCUUAGUGAUAACGAUGUUUUAGAAAGGUUUUUAAUGGCUAGGGUUUCAGUAGCUGGGCAGCGGGAGGGAGGUCGGGAGGUAUUUAUAGAGAAGCAUAGAUGCGUGUGGCUGGGGACUCUGAAGUAGUAAAGAUCCGGAUUUGAAUUAGGUUGAAACAGAAAAUAAAAAUGAGAACAAGAUCGUGUACAAUGCUUUGGGAUGCAAGGAGCUGAAAGGCUGAUUUAAAAUGAAAAAUGACAUCACAGGAUCCCCAGAGGCAGGACAGACUUAAGAGUUAUUCGCUUGAGCAACUUGGGGAUGCCAUUAAGGUCCCAGGUUCUUUCGCUGUGUUCUUCCAACGUUGGGGUCGGCUUACUUCCAGGAGACCCAGCCAAACAUGCAUCAUCCCAAAGCAGACUUUGCUUCUCCCUAAGACUCUCUCAGGAACGAGGAAACUUCCAGAGGCCUCUGACACUUUUCUCAUAUUUCAUUGGCCAGAACUGUGUUAUUAGCACAUUCCUAAGCCAAUCAUUGGCAAGGGGGUUGGACUACUCUUAGACCAAUCAGAGCCUCCCUUCCCACCCCUCCCUACCCCUAGACCAUUUCCAAGUGGUGGAUCAAAGAAGAUCUGAGAAAAAUAAGGGUUAUCUUAGGAUAAAGGAAGGAAGGCAGAGAGAUGGAUGCUGGGUGGAGACCAGUAACAUACACUAUGGGGACCAACAGCUAUAUAUUUAGUUUAGCACAUGUGGAUCUGAAUAAUGAAGAUCUUUUAGAAGGGCCAGGCGAGGUUGCUGGACUCUAUUCCACGGACAUGAAGAGACUUAGAGGAUUUUGAACAGGGAAAUGAUAAAAUCAGAAUAUGAUAUUUAGACUUAGAACAGCUUGUGAAAAUGGAGAAAAUGCACAUGUACCUGAAAGUAGUAUGACCACUUGUCAAAAAAUAAAAUAAAAUAAAAAGUUGAAUUUUCACUAGCUUCACUUAUUUUCCAUCUCUCGUAUCACCCCUUCAUCCAUCCUUCUGCCUGGCAUUUGGUCAACACAACUAUACAAAUUAAGCUUUACCAUCCCAUGAAACAAAUGUGAGGUACAAACAGGAUGGAGUGGAGAUAAAUAACCAAUAAUACCCCAUGUUACUCCAACUGUCACCCUUGAAAAGCAAUAAAGAGUCCCAGUCUAUGCCUCUGGCAUAGGUUCCAGUUUUGAGAUUAUGCUUUUAUCUACUUUGUGGUGUAAUUAACUCCCCAAGAUGAACUUCCAUCUUCAGAGCUCAGUUCUUCUAGCUCUGUGUAUUUGAAUUCCUUCUACCCUUGCUAUUAAGACUUUUCCAAAGGUGUGCUCUGGUCCUUCCACGUAACUCAUCAAGUCUCUCUCCUCACUUUCCUUUGGGCUCUCCGAUAUGCCAUCAUACCACUUUGUUCAGAUACACAAUACACUUGCUCCUAUAAACCAGAGUGAGCGAGAUGCUCUGAGUGUAUUUAAAUUUCUCCAUCAAAUCUUUGAACUCACCUUCGGGAGUUAACAUUUUAUCUUUUACCACCAGAUUUUAAAGGGUCCAAACUAUCACAGGAUUAAAUUUAGAGCUUAA